GGUAAAUGAUCAAAAUGUAUUUUGCAUAAAUUAAAGAUGGUAUCCAUGGUCUGGAGGGAAAGGUGUCUAGAUGCAAUUUGGAUAGGGAGUGAUAAGGUUUAAUAGAUUAAUUAUGAAUUAAUCAAAAAAAUUCAUCCAAAAAUACAACAAAUUUUUUUUUUUAAAAAAAAGAUAGUUAGGACUAACAAGGCCAAACUGCACCAAGAAAAGAUGG
RNAcentral lists this long non-coding RNA (214 nucleotides) under Elaeis guineensis (African oil palm). Its description in RNAcentral is "long non-coding RNA (EGUI_LNC035533)". The record is from RNAcentral. Lineage: Eukaryota; Viridiplantae; Streptophyta; Magnoliopsida; Arecales; Arecaceae.